Molecule: non-coding RNA, 23 nt
Filed under: Xenopus tropicalis (tropical clawed frog)
Lineage: Eukaryota; Metazoa; Chordata; Amphibia; Anura; Pipidae
Also listed under: 3 other names
Source: RNAcentral
AGUGGUUAGGAUUCGGCGCUCUC